RNAcentral lists this ribosomal RNA (217 nucleotides) under uncultured bacterium. RNAcentral's name for it is "partial 16S ribosomal RNA". It matches the Rfam family "Bacterial small subunit ribosomal RNA", at positions 524 to 740 of the family's 1533-position model. The record is from RNAcentral.
UACGUAGGGUGCAAGCGUUAAUCGGAAUUACUGGGCGUAAAGCGUGCGCAGGCGGUUUUGUAAGUCUGUCGUGAAAGCCCCGGGCUCAACCUGGGAAUUGCGAUGGAGACUGCAAGGCUUGAAUCUGGCAGAGGGGGGUAGAAUUCCACGUGUAGCAGUGAAAUGCGUAGAGAUGUGGAGGAACACCGAUGGCGAAGGCAGCCCCCUGGGUCAAGAU